CCUACGGGUGGCAGCAGUGGGGAAUAUUGGACAAUGGGGGGAACCCUGAUCCAGCCAUGCCGCGUGUGUGAAGAAGGCCCUCGGGUUGUAAAGCACUUUCAGUGAGGAAGAACGCCUGGUGGUUAAUACCCAUCAGGAAAGACAUCACUCACAGAAGAAGCACCGGCUAACUCCGUGCCAGCAGCCGCGGUAAUACGGAGGGUGCGAGCGUUAAUCGGAAUUACUGGGCGUAAAGCGCGCGUAGGUGGCUUGAUAAGCCGGUUGUGAAAGCCCCGGGCUCAACCUGGGAACGGCAUCCGGAACUGUCAAGCUAGAGUGCAGGAGAGGAAUGUAGAAUUCCCGGUGUAGCGGUGAAAUGCGUAGAGAGCGGGAGGAAUACCGGUGGCGAAGGCGGCCUUCUGGACUGACACUGACACUGAGGUGCGAAAGCGUGGGUAGCAAACAGGAUUAGAUACCCGAGUAGUC
Molecule: ribosomal RNA, 465 nt
Filed under: Vreelandella stevensii
Lineage: Bacteria; Pseudomonadati; Pseudomonadota; Gammaproteobacteria; Oceanospirillales; Halomonadaceae
Description: partial 16S ribosomal RNA
Rfam family: Bacterial small subunit ribosomal RNA
Source: RNAcentral